RNAcentral lists this ribosomal RNA (410 nucleotides) under uncultured microorganism. RNAcentral describes it as "bacterial SSU rRNA". It matches the Rfam family "Archaeal small subunit ribosomal RNA", at positions 330 to 745 of the family's 1478-position model. The record is from RNAcentral.
GCGCAGCAGUCGAGAAUACUUUACAAUGUGCGAAAGCACGAUAAGGGAACUCUGAGUGCCUCCUAAGGAGGCUGUUCAGGUGUCUAAAAGCACCUGAAGGAAGGGCUGGGUAAGACCGGUGCCAGCCGCCGCGGUAACACCGGCAGCCCAAGUGGUAGCCACGUUUAUUGGGUCUAAAGCGUCCGUAGCCGGCUGGGUAAGUUCCUUGGGAAAUUUGGCUGCUUAACAGUCAAGCUUUCAGGGAAUACUGCCCGGCUUGGGGACCGGGAGAGGUCAGAGGUACUCCAGGGGUAGGGGUGAAAUCCAUUAAUCCUUGGGGGACCACCGGUAGCGAAGGCGUCUGACCAGACCGGGUCCGACGGUGAGGGACGAAGGCUAGGGGCGCGAACCGGAUUAGAUACCCGCGUAGU